This 199-nucleotide long non-coding RNA is filed under the name Elaeis guineensis (African oil palm). RNAcentral's name for it is "long non-coding RNA (EGUI_LNC000804)". The record is from RNAcentral. Lineage: Eukaryota; Viridiplantae; Streptophyta; Magnoliopsida; Arecales; Arecaceae.
CCUGGAGAAUAAUUAGAUUGGAAUCUAUAACUUCUUUAUUCUUUAAUAGGUAGGCCAUGUUCUCAUACAUGAUCUUGAAGUUGAUGGCUACUUACCAAACAAAAAUUCAGAUUAGUCAUUCAUCGAAGUGAAAAAAGAGAGAGAGAGAAGAAAAGAAAGAAAAAUUCACAUGCAUGAGUUGCUCGAACCCAUGGUUGGC